CUUUGGGUGACGAGCGGCGGACGGGUGAGUAAUGUCUGGCAAACUGCCUGAUGCAGGGGGAUAACUACUGGAAACGGUAGCUAAUACCGCAUAACGUCGCAUGACCAAAGUGGGGGACCUUCGGGCCUCAUGCCAUCAGAUGUGCCCAGAUGGGAUUAGCUAGUAGGUGAGGUAAUGGCUCACCUAGGCGACGAUCCCUAGCUGGUCUGAGAGGAUGACCAGCCACACUGGAACUGAGACACGGUCCAGACUCCUACGGGAGGCAGCAGUGGGGAAUAUUGCACAAUGGGCGCAAGCAUGAUGCAGCCAUGCAGCGUGUAUGAAGAAGGCCUUGGGGUUGUAAAGUACUUUCAGCGAGAAGGAAGCUGUUAAGGUUAAUAACCUUGGCGAUUGACGAUUCUCGCAGAAGAAGCACCGGCUAACUCCGUGCCAUCUGCCGCGAAAAUACGGAGGGGGCAAGCGUUAAUGCGUAAUUACUGACCGUAAGGCGCACGCGGGCGUGCGUGUCAAGUCGAAUGUAAAAUCCUUGGACUCAACCUGCCAACUGCAUCCGACACUGGCAGGAUCGAGUCUUGUA
RNAcentral lists this ribosomal RNA (577 nucleotides) under Klebsiella sp. 7(2010). RNAcentral describes it as "bacterial SSU rRNA". It matches the Rfam family "Bacterial small subunit ribosomal RNA", at positions 78 to 653 of the family's 1533-position model. The record is from RNAcentral. Lineage: Bacteria; Pseudomonadati; Pseudomonadota; Gammaproteobacteria; Enterobacterales; Enterobacteriaceae.